Molecule: ribosomal RNA, 863 nt
Filed under: uncultured Lecanicillium
Lineage: Eukaryota; Fungi; Ascomycota; Sordariomycetes; Hypocreales; Cordycipitaceae
Description: SSU rRNA
Rfam family: Eukaryotic small subunit ribosomal RNA
Source: RNAcentral
GGAAGGGAUGUAUUUAUUAGAUUAAAAACCAAUGCCCUCUGGGCUCCUUGGUGAUUCAUGAUAACUUUUCGAAUCGCACGGCCUUGCGCCGGCGAUGGUUCAUUCAAAUUUCUUCCCUAUCAACUUUCGAUGUUUGGGUAUUGGCCAAACAUGGUCGCAACGGGUAACGGAGGGUUAGGGCUCGACCCCGGAGAAGGAGCCUGAGAAACGGCUACUACAUCCAAGGAAGGCAGCAGGCGCGCAAAUUACCCAAUCCCGAUUCGGGGAGGUAGUGACAAUAAAUACUGAUACAGGGCUCUUUUGGGUCUUGUAAUUGGAAUGAGUACAAUUUAAAUCCCUUAACGAGGAACAAUUGGAGGGCAAGUCUGGUGCCAGCAGCCGCGGUAAUUCCAGCUCCAAUAGCGUAUAUUAAAGUUGUUGUGGUUAAAAAGCUCGUAGUUGAACCUUGGGCCUGGCUGGCCGGUCCGCCUCACCGCGUGUACUGGUCCGGCCGGGCCUUUCCCUCUGUGGAACCUCAUGCCCUUCACUGGGUGUGGCGGGGAAACAGGACUUUUACUUUGAAAAAAUUAGAGUGCUCCAGGCAGGCCUAUGCUCGAAUACAUUAGCAUGGAAUAAUGAAAUAGGACGUGUGGUUCUAUUUUGUUGGUUUCUAGGACCGCCGUAAUGAUUAAUAGGGACAGUCGGGGGCAUCAGUAUUCAAUUGUCAGAGGUGAAAUUCUUGGAUUUAUUGAAGACUAACUACUGCGAAAGCAUUUGCCAAGGAUGUUUUCAUUAAUCAGGAACGAAAGUUAGGGGAUCGAAGACGAUCAGAUACCGUCGUAGUCUUAACCAUAAACUAUGCCGACUAGGGAUCGGACGAUGUU